GCCCAGCUAGCUUAGUUGGUAGAGCAUGAGACCCUUAAUCUCAGGGUCGUGGGUUCAGGACCCACGUUGGGCA
Non-coding RNA from Phodopus roborovskii (desert hamster), 73 nucleotides. The record is from the annotation of a RefSeq genome assembly. NCBI's taxonomy places the organism in Eukaryota, Metazoa, Chordata, Mammalia, Rodentia, Cricetidae.